AAAUACUUCUGUUUGUCUUUUGAAAUUGAUUGAUUCUCCACUGUUUUAUGCGAGGAGUGGUUCUGAGUUGGAUUGGUUCUGCUACAUAUGGGGAUUGAGAGAGGAGCAGACAGUGUAAGAAGAUCCGGCCAUAGAUUGAAUCCGGUAAGUCAUCAGAUCAAAUAUUUGUAUACUCAGACUUGAGUUGGAUUGUAUUCUUGAAGAUUUGAAUCGUUUUUGGUUAAAUGUGAUUAAUAUAGUGUAGAUGUUUAAGUUUGAAAUGUUAUUU
This 268-nucleotide long non-coding RNA is filed under the name Capsella grandiflora. RNAcentral's name for it is "long non-coding RNA (CGRA_LNC000702)". The record is from RNAcentral. Lineage: Eukaryota; Viridiplantae; Streptophyta; Magnoliopsida; Brassicales; Brassicaceae.